CAGUAGCCACGGUAAUACGUAGGUGGCAAGCGUUGUCCGGAUUUAUUGGGCGUAAAGCGAGCGCAGGCGGUCAAUUAAGUCUGAUGUGAAAGCCCACGGCUCAACCGUGGAGGGUCAUUGGAAACUGUUAAACUUGAGUGCAGGAGAGAAAAGUGGAAUUCCUAGUGUAGCGGUGAAAUGCGUAGAGAUUAGGAGGAACACCAGUGGCGAAGGCGGCUUUUUGGCCCGUAACUGACACUGAGGCGCGAAAGCGUGGGGAGCAAACAGGAUUAGAUACCCCAGUAGUCCCUGUCUCUUAUAC
Molecule: ribosomal RNA, 301 nt
Filed under: uncultured bacterium
Lineage: Bacteria
Description: partial 16S ribosomal RNA
Rfam family: Bacterial small subunit ribosomal RNA
Source: RNAcentral